This 1226-nucleotide ribosomal RNA is filed under the name metagenome. RNAcentral describes it as "bacterial LSU rRNA". It matches the Rfam family "Bacterial large subunit ribosomal RNA", at positions 1564 to 2800 of the family's 2925-position model. The record is from RNAcentral.
UGAGUACGAGAUGCUACGGCAUCGAAGCAGUCUAUGUCAUACUUCCAAGAAAAGCUUGCACUGUCAGAAACAGAUAAUGCCUGUACCAUAACCGACACAGGUGGGUAGGUAGAGUAUACUAAGGGGCGCGAGAUAACUCUCUCUAAGGAACUCGGCAAAAUGACUCCGUAACUUCGGGAGAAGGAGUGCCUUAUUUUUAAGGUUGCAAUAACAAGAUCCAAGCAACUGUUUACCAAAAACACAGGUCUCCGCUAAGUCGUAAGACGAUGUAUGGGGGCUGACGCCUGCCCAGUGCCAGAAGGUUAAAGAAGUCGGUUAGCAUUCGCGAAGCUGGUAACUGAAGCCCUGGUGAACGGCGGCCGUAACGAUAACGGUCCUAAGGUAGCGAAAUUCCUUGUCGGGUAAGUUCCGACCCGCACGAAAGGCGUAAUGAUUUGGAUACUGUCUCGGAGAGGGGCUCGGUGAAAUAGACUUGUCUGUGAAGAUGCGGACUACCUGCACCUGGACAGAAAGACCCUAUGAAGCUUUACUGUAACUUGAAAUUGAAAUUGGACUUUAUUUGCGCAGUAUAGGUGGGAGGCGUUGAAAAUAUUCUUGCGGGAAUAUUGGAGCCAUCAGUGAGAUACCACUCUUGUAAUGUUAGAUUUCUAACUUUAUAUCAUUAUCUGGUUAAAGAACAGUUUCAGGCGGGCAGUUUGACUGGGGCGGUCGCCUCCCAAAUGGUAACGGAGGCGCACAAAGGUUUCCUCUGAACGGGUAGAAAUCGUAUCUAGAGUGUAAAGGCAUAAGGAAGCUUGACUGUGAGACCUACAAGUCGAGCAGGGACGAAAGUCGGUCUUAGUGAUCUGACGGUGCUGAGUGGAAAGGCCGUCACUCAACGGAUAAAAGUUACUCUAGGAUAACAGGCUGAUCUCCCCCAAGAGUUCACAUCGACGGGGAGGUUUGGCACCUCGAUGUCGGCUCAUCGCAUCCUGGGGCGGUAGUACGUCCCAAGGGUUGGGCUGUUCGCCCAUGAAAGCGGUACGCGAGCUGGGUUCAGAACGUCGUGAGACAGUUCGGUCCAUAUCCGGUGUAGGCGUUAGAAUACUGAGAGGAGCCUUCUUUAGUACGAGAGGACCGAGAAGGACAUACCUCUGGUGUACCAGUUAUCGUGCCAACGGUAAACGCUGGGUAGCUAUGUAGCGAGUGGAUAACCGCUGAAAGCAUCUAAGUGGGAAGCCCACCUC